Molecule: long non-coding RNA, 1446 nt
Filed under: Gallus gallus (chicken)
Lineage: Eukaryota; Metazoa; Chordata; Aves; Galliformes; Phasianidae
Source: RNAcentral
CUCGCCAGGCAAUGGAAGCGGUGUGACGGGAAAGGGGCACUUCAUGCACAAAAUGUAUCUUACAAAAUACAUAUCCAAAAAAGCAAAAAACAACAACAAAAAAAAAAGCCAACAACAACAAAAAAAAAUCCCACCUUGCACUAAAUUGCAGCACUCUUAACACUUGCUCUGCCACAGGCUGCUGCCCAUGCCUUGUUUGAUAGAGGAGGCAUGUGAAAAAGGGGAGGGGGGGGGAAAAUCCAUGUUUCAGUCUGUUUUUCAAACUCUCUCUCACAGGGACGUCCUCAGUCAUCUGAUGUCAGACACAGAGCCCUCAGAGUACGUCGUGGUCAUGACUGGAGUGCCGUUGUUUGCCAAGCAGCCUUGCCUCAAGGUUUCAAAAUACGAGGCCUGCACCGGUUUGUGAUACUGCAGAACUUUGAUGGCAUCUUCUAUCUUAAACCAUUCCCUUUUCCUUCCAAUAUUGACAGAGUCCUCCCAAUCUUCCAACACUUCAGUGACAAUAAGUACGUAAACAUAUGUCCUGUGUUUCCUGUCCCGAUUCUCAAAAAUUCCCACCAAUCUUCCUAACGUCCCUUUCACUCCAGCCUCUUCGCAGACUUCCCGCACAGCAGCCACGUUGGGCUCCUCCUCGGGCUCCAUGCCACCCCCAGGGACGAUCCAUCGAUCAGGAUGACGACUACUGCUAACCAGCAGCACCUCCUCCUCGCUCUCGCUGCGGAAGCACAGGCAGGCCGCCCGCUUCUUGUAGCCGUCCCCGUCGUAGGUGCGCGUCUGGUUGGACUUGAGCUUCAUCAUCCUCCGCUCCCAGGGGGCGGCCCGAGGGACGGCGAGGCCUAGAGAGGGCCGGGGCGGCGGGGGCGGGCGGGGAAGGAGCCGCCGGGGCUCCCGCGAGGGGCGGGCGGGGAAGGACGGGGGGGACGGAGGGGGGCCCGCCUCCCCGCGAGUCUCUUUCUCUGUCAGUCUCUGUCUCCCGCAGGCCGGGAGCCGCCCGCUACACGCUGCCGCCUUUCGCCCGCCUCAUCCCUCCCUUCACUUCCAGCCGCUCCGCCGCCGCUGCCAGCGCUCCGGCCACCGCCGCCGACGACGACCGCGACGCCAUCUUGGGGCACGCUACGCAAACGGCGUAAAGCCGCCGGGCGGGGGAGGGGGCGGCUGCUCCCUCCAGCUGCACGGCGCGCCCGCCACGCAGACGGCGCAGUCCGGCUUCCAGAAUCGCUCCCCCCCUCCCCGCGGCAGGCACAGACGCCGCCACCACGCCUCCGCCCGACGCCGGCCCUGCGCGCCAGCGGCGCGGCGCAGAGCCUUCAAGAAUACGGCGGCGGCUGCGUGCCGGGGCGCCCUGACAGCUACGCAAAAGGCGGCGAGGCAGAGCCGGCGCCCAGCGCACAUGGCUCCGCUUUGACAGCGGCUCUACGCAAAGCGCGCAGACGCCGGGGAGGGAAG